GACGAACGCUGGCGGCGUGCUUAACACAUGCAAGUCGAACGGAAAGGCCCUGCUUUUGUGGGGUGCUCGAGUGGCGAACGGGUGAGUAACACGUGAGUAACCUGCCCUUGACUUUGGGAUAACUCCAGGAAACUGGGGCUAAUACCGGAUAGGAGCUCCUGCUGCAUGGUGGGGGUUGGAAAGUUUCGGCGGUUGGGGAUGGACUCGCGGCUUUUCAGCUUGUUGGUGGGGUAGUGGCUUACCAAGGCUUUGACGGGUAGCCGGCCUGAGAGGGUGACCGGCCCCAUUGGGACUGAGAUACUGCCCAGACUCCUACGGGGGGCAGAAGUGGGGAAUAUUGCACAAUGGGCGGAAGCCUGAUGCAGCAACGCCGCGUGCGGGAUGACGGCCUUCGGGUUGUAAACCGCUUUCGCCUGUGACGAAGCGUGAGUGACGGUAAUGGGUAAAGAAGCACCGGCUAACUACGUG
RNAcentral lists this ribosomal RNA (468 nucleotides) under uncultured bacterium. Its description in RNAcentral is "partial 16S ribosomal RNA". It matches the Rfam family "Bacterial small subunit ribosomal RNA", at positions 28 to 507 of the family's 1533-position model. The record is from RNAcentral.